GAUGAACGCUGGCGGCGUGCCUAAUACAUGCAAGUCGAGCGAACAGACGAGGAGCUUGCUCCUCUGACGUUAGCGGCGGACGGGUGAGUAACACGUGGAUAACCUACCUAUAAGACUGGGAUAACUUCGGGAAACCGGAGCUAAUACCGGAUAAUAUAUUGAACCGCAUGGUUCAAUAGUGAAAGACGGUUUUGCUGUCACUUAUAGAUGGAUCCGCGCCGCAUUAGCUAGUUGGUAAGGUAACGGCUUACCAAGGCAACGAUGCGUAGCCGACCUGAGAGGGUGAGCGGCCACACUGGAACGGAGACACGGUCCAGAGUCCUACGGGAGGCAGCAGUAGGGAAUGUUCCGCAAUGGGCGAAAGCCUGACGGAGCAACGCCGCGUGAGUGAUGAAGGUCUUCGGAUCGUAAAACUCUGUUAUUAGGGAAGAACAAAUGUGUAAGUAACUAUGCACGUCUUGACGGUACCUAAUCAGAAAGCCACGGCUAACUACGUG
Molecule: ribosomal RNA, 497 nt
Filed under: uncultured bacterium
Lineage: Bacteria
Description: partial 16S ribosomal RNA
Rfam family: Bacterial small subunit ribosomal RNA
Source: RNAcentral